Molecule: ribosomal RNA, 1163 nt
Filed under: uncultured Flavobacteriaceae bacterium
Lineage: Bacteria; Pseudomonadati; Bacteroidota; Flavobacteriia; Flavobacteriales; Flavobacteriaceae
Description: bacterial SSU rRNA
Rfam family: Bacterial small subunit ribosomal RNA
Source: RNAcentral
UGGACAAUGGAGGAACUCUGAUCCAGCCAUGCCGCGUGCAGGAUGAAUGCCCUAUGGGUUGUAAACUGCUUUUAUACAGGAAGAAACAUUUCCACGUGUGGAAACUUGACGGUACUGUAAGAAUAAGGAUCGGCUAACUCCGUGCCAGCAGCCGCGGUAAUACGGAGGAUCCAAGCGUUAUCCGGAAUUAUUGGGUUUAAAGGGUCCGUAGGUGGUUAUUUAAGUCAGAGGUGAAAUCCUGCCGCUUAACGGUAGAACUGCCUUCGAUACUGAUUAACUUGAGUUAUUGUGAAGUAGUUAGAAUAUGUAGUGUAGCGGUGAAAUGCAUAGAUAUUACAUAGAAUACCGAUUGCGAAGGCAGAUUACUAACAAUAUACUGACACUGAGGGACGAAAGCGUGGGUAGCGAACAGGAUUAGAUACCCUGGUAGUCCACGCCGUAAACGAUGGUCACUAGCUGUUUGAUUAACAUUGGUUAAUUAAGUGGCUAAGCGAAAGUGAUAAGUGACCCACCUGGGGAGUACGCUCGCAAGAGUGAAACUCAAGGGAAUUGACGGGGGCCCGCACAAGCGGUGGAGCAUGUGGUUUAAUUCGAUGAUACGCGAGGAACCUUACCAGGGCUUAAAUGUAGAUUGCAUAAGCUAGAGAUAGCUUUUUCUUCGGACUAUCUACAAGGUGCUGCAUGGUUGUCGUCAGCUCGUGCCGUGAGGUGUCAGGUUAAGUCCUAUAACGAGCGCAACCCCUGUCGUUAGUUGCCAACAGGUUAUGCUGGGAACUCUAACGAGACUGCCGGUGCAAACUGAGAGGAAGGUGGGGACGACGUCAAAUCAUCACGGCCCUUACGUCCUGGGCUACACACGUGCUACAAUGGUCGGUACAGAGAGCAGCCACCUUGCGAAAGGGAGCAAAUCUUUAAAACCGGUCUCAGUUCGGAUCGCAGUCUGCAACUCGACUGCGUGAAGCUGGAAUCGCUAGUAAUCGCAUAUCAGCCAUGAUGCGGUGAAUACGUUCCCGGGCCUUGUACACACCGCCCGUCAAGCCAUGGAAGCUGGGGGUACCUGAAGUCGGUGACCGAAAGGAGCUGCCUAGGGUAAAACUAGUGACUGGGGCUAAGUCGUAACAAGAUAGCCGUACCGGAAGGUGCGGCUGGAACACCUCCUUUCU